Molecule: unclassified non-coding RNA, 744 nt
Filed under: uncultured fungus
Lineage: Eukaryota; Fungi
Description: sequence contains 18S rRNA gene, ITS1, 5.8S rRNA gene, ITS2, 28S rRNA gene
Source: RNAcentral
AGAUGGCGUCGGAGCGCGAACCGCGCCAGCUGUUGAGCAGUGUCUGCAGCGGUGCCCGGGGGCUGCUUGGCGCACGUUACGCCGUCCUGGCCGUGGCGGACAAGAAUCGACCCAACGGAGUCAUCGUGUGCGUCAGCGGUCAGGCACCGCGACCCGUCGCUGGCGUGAUGGAUCCGCGCGAAGAUACCGGUAUUCUCGGCACGGUCUUCGAGCAGCGGCGUUCGCUGCGGCUCGCAAGCAACGAUGGAGCACCACUCGCACUUGGGUUGCCUGCCGGCUUCCCGCCGGUCAGGUCGGCGGUCGCUGUUCCCGUCUGUUCCCUCACCCGCACCUAUGGCUGGCUGUGCCUGGGCGAGAAGCUUGGCGCCACGGAAUUCAGCAGCGAAGACGAGCGGUUGCUCACCAUUCUCGCGGCGCAGCUUGGCCGCAUCUAUGAAAACGGCAGCCUCUACCGCGAAGUGCAGGAACAGGCGACCCAGCUGAUGGUCGAAGUGGACGAGCGCAGUCGCGCGGUGGAGCAGUUGAAAAUCAGUGAGGAGCGCUUCCGGCAGCUGGCUGAAAACAUCCAGGAUGUGUUCUUCGUUGCUUCACCGGAUCUGGCGACCUUCCAAUACGUCAGCCCGGGCUUCGACAAGAUCUGGGGGAGGCCCGUCAGCGAGCAGAAAUUCGACAAUGGCGCCUGGGUGCAGAGCAUUCAUCCCGCCGAUCGCGACCGGGCCGCUGUUGAAGUGGCUGCUAUCAUCG